Molecule: ribosomal RNA, 468 nt
Filed under: uncultured bacterium
Lineage: Bacteria
Description: partial 16S ribosomal RNA
Rfam family: Bacterial small subunit ribosomal RNA
Source: RNAcentral
GACGAACGCUGGCGGCGUGCUUAACACAUGCAAGUCGGACGGAAAGGCCCUGCUUUUGUGGGGUGCUCGAGUGGCGAACGGGUGAGUAACACGUGAGUAACCUGCCCUUGACUUUGGGAUAACUUCAGGAAACUGGGGCUAAUACCGGAUAGGAGCUCCUGCUGCAUGGUGGGGGUUGGAAAGUUUCGGCGGUUGGGGAUGGACUCGCGGCUUAUCAGCUUGUUGGUGGGGUAGUGGCUUACCAAGGCUUUGACGGGUAGCCGGCCUGAGAGGGUGACCGGCCACAUUGGGACUGAGAUACGGCCCAGACUCCUACGGGAGGCAGCAGUGGGGAAUAUUGCACAAUGGGCGGAAGCCUGAUGCAGCAACGCCGCGUGCGGGAUGACGGCCUUCGGGUUGUAAACCGCUUUCGCCUGUGACGAAGCGUGAGCGACGGUAAUGGGUAAAGAAGCACCGGCUAACUACGUG